Long non-coding RNA from Oncorhynchus tshawytscha (Chinook salmon), 2046 nucleotides. The record is from Ensembl. Lineage: Eukaryota; Metazoa; Chordata; Actinopteri; Salmoniformes; Salmonidae.
GAUACCAGCCAGGUUGUAGUAUCAGGAUACCAGCCAGGUUGUAGUAUCAGGAUACCAGCCAGGUUGUAGUAUCAGGAUACCAGCCAGGUUGUAGUAUCAGGGUACCAGCCAGGUUGUAGUAUCAGGGUACCAGCCAGGUUGUAGUAUCAGGAUACCAGCCAGGUUGUAGUAUCAGGAUACCAGCCAGGUUGUAGUAUCAGGGUACCAGCCAGGUUGUAGUAUAGGGGUACCAGCCAGGUUGUAGUAUCAGGGUACCAGCCAGGUUGUAGUAUCGGGAUACCAGCCAGGUUGUAGUAUCGGGAUACCAGCCAGGUACCUUCCUCUACCCACCCUCCUCCAGGUCCGCGUGACCCCGAGCCACAUUCUCAGCCUCUGAUGACCCGGAAGUGGUCCGUUUCAGUUCCUGUAAAACCAUGAAGUGAUUUUCAUCCCAGUUGCCCAGCAGCUUGUGUGAGGCUGAGAGUCUUUCCCAAGGCUGAGAGUCUUUCCCAAGGCUGAGAGUCUUUCCCAAGGCUGUGAGUCUUUCCCAAGGCUGAGAGUCUUUCCCAAGGCUGAGAGUCUUUCCCAAGGCUGAGAGUCUUUCCCAAGGCUGUGAGUCUUUCCCAAGGCUGAGAGUCUUUCCCAAGGCUGAGAGUCUUUCCCAAGGCUGAGAGUCUUUCCCAAGGCUGAGAGUCUUUCCCAAGGCUGAGAGUCUUUCCCCAGGCUGAGAGUCUUUCCCAAGGCUGAGAGUCUUUCCCAAGGCUGAGAGUCUUUCCCAAGGCUGUGAGUCUUUUCCCAAGGCUUCUGUAAAAGGAACAGCUUUAAAGACAAAAAGACAAAGAAAAAAUACUUGGGUCUUUUUUAGCAUUGUGUGGGAGUGUGUUGUUUCUGAGUUGGUUGGUGUAUCCAUUGGGAGUGUGUGAUGUUUAUGCUCUACAGAAGAGCUUUUCUGUCAGCAGACGUUCUCACUCACCUAACCUUUUAGUUUGUUGUUUUUAAUCCUUUCAAAAUAUUAUCAUAAGAUUCAACUUUAGUUUUAGGUCAUUGUAUAUUUUGUGUGUGUUGUUUUCCUUUGUUUUUAUCACCACCUCUGGGUAACUCGUUCAGCUUCUAUAAAUUAUAUAUCUAUGUUCGUUCUAAGUUCAGAACUUUGUGCUGAUCUGUUUCUUUAUGAGUGGCUAAGACCCGGGCUGCGUCCCAAAAUGGUCAAAAGUUGUGUACUAAGCCUAUAAGGAACAGGGUGCUAAUAGGGUGCCAAUAGGCUGCCAAUAGGGUGCCAACAGGGUGCCCUAUACUGAUCAGACAAUUAACAAUGGAAUUAGCUUUUGUAGCACCACAGUGUGCACACGUUAACAAGCGGGUAUGACACGUGUGUGUUUACCACAAACGUGCGUGUCAGAGUACACACUAUUCUGCGUCAGACAGACGGGGGAGUCUUUUCACAACCGUAAAAUGUCCCACACAAUAUAAACAAAGAUGACAUCAGUGAACGACGUACCAGACGUAGUAAUAUGUUUGAUCAGCAUGCUAUAAUGAUUUACUAUUCAUGCUGACGUUAAACGUGUUACCAGUUCUAAUCUGUCCUCCAGACGGCACAAGGUAGUUGGUUUAUUAUCCGUCUAUGACAGUAACACACACAGUUGAGUAAUUUCACAAAGCAUUAAACAUCAGUCUUGUAAGCUCAGGUCUAUGAACAACUAUAGAUAGAUUUGGUAUAAAUGAGUUGAUACUCUCAAUCAUUUUGAUCUUUAUCUUUGUGUGUUGUGUAUUUGCCAAAACCAUAGCUAGUUAACUUGUUGAUCCCACUUGUUUAGGAAUCUUUGAGUGGGUCCCAAUGAUCUCUCCUUUCUCCCAAAGUGUGCACUUGUUCACUUUUUGUGGGAGGGAUUGGUGAUCGAGUGCGCACUUCAGGAGGAAGGAGAGAUUCCCGGGACGCUCCCUCCGCCUACUCUCACUGUUCUGUCUAUAUGCUGGAGCCGACCCCAGGCCUGCAUGUACUAUCCCAUCACAAGGCUUUUUCAUUAUUUUCCAUGAGUUGUUUGAUUAAAUGAUUUGUUUUGAUUCAAA